GAUGAACGCUGGCGGCGUGCCUAAUACAUGCAAGUCGAACGAAACUUCUUUAUCACCGAGUGCUUGCACUCACCGAUAAAGAGUUGAGUGGCGAACGGGUGAGUAACACGUGGGCAACCUGCCCAAAAGAGGGGGAUAACACUUGGAAACAGGUGCUAAUACCGCAUAACCAUAGUUACCGCAUGGUAACUAUGUAAAAGGUGGCUAUACUACCGCUUUUGGAUGGGCCCGCGGCGCAUUAGCUAGUUGGUAGGGUAAAGGCUUACCAAGGCAAUGAUGCGUAGCCGAAUUGAGAGGUUGAUCGGCCACAUUGGCACUGAGACACGGCCCAAACUCCUACGGGAGGCAGCAGUAGGGAAUCUUCCACAAUGGGCGAAAGCCUGAUGGAGCAACGCCGCGUGGGUGAAGAAGGUCUUCGGAUCGUAAAACCCUGUUGUUAGAGAAGAAAGUGCGUGAGAGUAACUGUUCACGUUUCGACGGUAUCUAACCAGAAAGCCACUGCUAACUACGUG
Molecule: ribosomal RNA, 512 nt
Filed under: uncultured bacterium
Lineage: Bacteria
Description: partial 16S ribosomal RNA
Rfam family: Bacterial small subunit ribosomal RNA
Source: RNAcentral